GAUGAACGCUAGCUACAGGCUUAACACAUGCAAGUCGAGGGGCAGCAUGGUCUUAGCUUGCUAAGGCCGAUGGCGACCGGCGCACGGGUGAGUAACACGUAUCCAACCUGCCGUCUACUCUUGGACAGCCUUCUGAAAGGAAGAUUAAUACAAGAUGGCAUCAUGAGUCCACAUGUUCACAUGAUUAAAGGUAUUCCGGUAGACGAUGGGGAUGCGUUCCAUUAGAUAGUAGGCGGGGUAACGGCCCACCUAGUCUUCGAUGGAUAGGGGUUCUGAGAGGAAGGUCCCCCACAUUGGAACUGAGACACGGUCCAAACUCCUACGGGAGGCAGCAGUGAGGAAUAUUGGUCAAUGGGCGAGAGCCUGAACCAGCCAAGUAGCGUGAAGGAUGACUGCCCUAUGGGUUGUAAACUUCUUUUAUAAAGGAAUAAAGUCGGGUAUGGAUACCCGUUUGCAUGUACUUUAUGAAUAAGGAUCGGCUAACUCCGUGCCAGCAGCCGCGGUAAUACGGAGGAUCCGAGCGUUAUCCGGAUUUAUUGGGUUUAAAGGGAGCGUAGAUGGAUGUUUAAGUCAGUUGUGAAAGUUUGCGGCUCAACCGUAAAAUUGCAGUUGAUACUGGAUAUCUUGAGUGCAGUUGAGGCAGGCGGAAUUCGUGGUGUAGCGGUGAAAUGCUUAGAUAUCACGAAGAACUCCGAUUGCGAAGGCAGCCUGCUAAGCUGCAACUGACAUUGAGGCUCGAAAGUGUGGGUAUCAAACAGGAUUAGAUACCCUGGUAGUCCACACGGUAAACGAUGAAUACUCGCUGUUUGCGAUAUACAGCAAGCGGCCAAGCGAAAGCGUUAAGUAUUCCACCUGGGGAGUACGCCGGCAACGGUGAAACUCAAAGGAAUUGACGGGGGCCCGCACAAGCGGAGGAACAUGUGGUUUAAUUCGAUGAUACGCGAGGAACCUUACCCGGGCUUAAAUUGCAGAUGAAUUACGGUGAAAGCCGUAAGCCGCAAGGCAUCUGUGAAGGUGCUGCAUGGUUGUCGUCAGCUCGUGCCGUGAGGUGUCGGCUUAAGUGCCAUAACGAGCGCAACCCUUGUUGUCAGUUACUAACAGGUUCCGCUGAGGACUCUGACAAGACUGCCAUCGUAAGAUGUGAGGAAGGUGGGGAUGACGUCAAAUCAGCACGGCCCUUACGUCCGGGGCUACACACGUGUUACAAUGGGGGGUGCAGAGGGCCGCUACCACGCGAGUGGAUGCCAAUCCCAAAAACCUCUCUCAGUUCGGACUGGAGUCUGCAACCCGACUCCACGAAGCUGGAUUCGCUAGUAAUCGCGCAUCAGCCACGGCGCGGUGAAUACGUUCCCGGGCCU
This 1358-nucleotide ribosomal RNA is filed under the name uncultured bacterium. RNAcentral describes it as "bacterial SSU rRNA". It matches the Rfam family "Bacterial small subunit ribosomal RNA", at positions 28 to 1381 of the family's 1533-position model. The record is from RNAcentral.